ACAAGCUUGGCUAGUUUGACCACCAGAAAACCCGAGAGAUAGAAUUUGGAAUUCUUGGGCAGGGCUGAAAGUGCGGACCCUACAGCUUUGCGCUGACUGGUACACACGACGGCCUGACCUUGGAAGCCUUGUUGACCUCCACGCCAGAUCUCGAAUGCUAGCUAACCAGUCAGCAAGAAAGGAAAUGUACCGCAAACGUGCAUGUGCCGGACAGACUCUUUCGCAUUAUUAUUAUUUUUUAUUCUUUGGGAAGCCAGGGUAGAAGCGCUUGACUUGAAUGCCGAAGCCGUUAGGAGGGCACCCCUUCUUUCCCGGCCUAGGGCUCCUUCCUAAUCUGCGGCCUCCAAAUGAAUCUUGGGAGGCUUUGCCUUUGAUUUCCGGAUAGCGGCUCCGGAAAACGAAGGAGGGCAUGGGACGCUCGCCUCGGGGGCUGGACUCGCUCCAGAAGCAGGUCGACUCCACUGCAGCCCCGGAGACCGGACGGAGCCACCGGGAGAUUCCCGGUGGCCUUGACCUUGGUGUCCGAGGCUCAGUUUGCCGUCCCGCUGGUUCUGGGCGAUGACACAGCCCUUCGGCCAGGGCAGGGACAUCUCCUGCCUACCGUCUACAGGGCCUGGCUGCCUGGCUGCCUCCCGCUCACACCAUCCGACAGUGGCGCCUGACCACCAGCCUCCCACCUGGAUGGGAGGUGAGUUCGGACUCUGCUCUCUGCGUUCGGGAGGCCGAGGUAUAGCUUCUCGUGCAGACUGCCUUGCUUAGCAGCAAUGUCACUGAGGUGGAUUCCAGCCGUGCCUUCCCGACUUAUGACCCUGGCCCGUGGUCCCGAGCACCCAGCACAGCCAAUUUGGAACUCACAGCUCUGAGGCACUCAGAGCUAUCGAUUUCCUGCAUGUCUGUUUGCAGAGAGCACCCAAUUCAGAGCCGUGCAGGGGCGCUCCUGGUCCUGUGGGUGUUGGGAGCCGCGUCUGUGAUAGCUCGCCUUGCGCGGCGGACGUGAGGCCUGUGGUAAAGAGCAAAGCCUGAGGUAGAUUACCCCUCCCAUCGAAUAUGUUAGUUUCCUGCUUACCGCGUAAACAACCCGCUCAACAAUAUAGUCUGCCUGGCAACUGAUGAUGUUAGCCAAUCAGCUUGCCUUGCUUACUUUAACAUGAUUGGACACUGUACCCGUAUAUAUACCGGUGCCACCCCUGGGCGGAAGAAGAAGCCAGGUAGAAGCCCAGAAGUAAAAGCCCAAAAGGAGCCGCGGAGAGCGGACCGGUAGAGGCUUUGGGGCAGACUGAAGCACAAAAGGAGCCGCGGGGAGCGGACCAGAGGAGGCUUCAGCUGGGAGAACCCAGGGCAGGCUGUACGGAGAAGGAAAAUAAAAAGAAAAGAACCCUGGCCGUGUUCACAAACACGGAAAGGGGAUCCUGCUCCGGGAAAGCCGUUCAUCACCGCUGGCUGCCCCGCCUCCAGCGCCAGCACAGGGAUGACUUCGGUUGCCAAUGGGAAGAGAGUGCCAACAGGCAGCCUGAGCUCAGCUCUGCAGAAGUGGCCAAUUAAGAUGCCACCCUGGUGGAGAGAACAUGGCGUUUCAGGUGACUCGAAGAUGCUGGGUGAAGAUCUGACACUCCGGGGCUUGCUGCUGGUUUCAAGGACGAGGAGGGAUGGGGUUUUGCAGUCCAGCCGCUCUGGGCCUGAGAGGGUCAGGAGAUCGAUUGGACAAGGAACUGUGCUCGGACUCCAUGGUGAGACUCUUGGGAAGAUACACACCACUUCUGGAAUAAAUCAGCACACGUGAUUUCUAGCCAGGUGGCAAGGAAACCUGGUUUUCUGGACCUGGAGAAUCCAGGUUGGGUGAAAUUCCCCAAACCCUUCUUCCUAACAUGGUCUACAUAUAACCGCCUUCUUGUCAAGUGUGCGGGCUUUUGUUAAAGGUUGAGCUGUGGAUUUUAUUGUUUUUAAUCCUCAGCCCUGGCCGGCCUGAAAAAUCUCAGGCUGUUGAAUGAUUAAUUCCACCCUGCCCCAGAAAACGUUACUCAGCUGGCGAAAGGAAAUAGCCCAACACGGAGGCAAAAGAGCAAACUGACUUUAUCUGUGAGUGAUUAUGUUUGACAAGAUGAAACAGAAAGAAAUCUUUUGUCACUGGAGAAGACUGUGCUUUGAAAAGUCUUUGCACAAGUCUCAAGGCUGUGCUGUACACAGUGUGAAUUAAAAUGGAAAUAAUCCCAGCUCCCUUUUCCCUCCCAAAUAAGGAGCGGAGAAACAAAACUUCAGUUUCAAACGUUCGCUACGGCAGAGUUUCAGAAAUCAGAGCAAGACUCCAAGGUCUCCUCCGGAGCAGGGCUUUCAUUAACAAGGAAAUUCUCUUUCAAGAAACCUAUUUUUGACUCGCUAUUUACUACUCAAAUUUUAAUUUUCCCUCCCUGCACACGUAACGAGAGGGCCACACUCAGAUGAAGACCGGACGCCAAGGGAAGAUGAAGAGGCCAGGGAGGCUCUGCUCUGGAGCCCCUGGGGGAGCGUGGCCCUGCCGAAUCUUCCUUCUGGCCCAGCAAAACCGAUUUUGGAUCUCCAGCUCUGGAAUUGUAAGACUACUCUUCUAUUUUUUUUUUUUUUUUAAAUCGGUACCAGGGAUCGAACUCACGACUGCCUGCUUGCAAGGCAGGCGCUUAUGCCGCUGAGCUAAAUCCCAGCCCUAGACUACUUUUGUUUUAAGACACUAAGGCCAUCUGGCUCAGCAAACAGCAGUUUCCGUAAAUGAAUACCCUUUGUCUAAGCCCCUGUCCAAGCCUGAUGUGUACGGUAAUCUCCCCACUGCUCUGUCAGCCUCCUCUCUUGCACGUAUGAGGCAUAUUCUCUCUCCACGCUGUGGCAGAGGGAUCCUUUUGAAACACAAAGCCAUACCUCAACUGUGGGCUUUGCAGAGCAACAUCCUCAGGAUAAAAUCAGAUUUCGCCUUGCAGUGCGAGUUGCCCUGUGAGCUGGCCUUGGGUUCUUCCCUGGAUUCGUACGUAGCCCAGCAGCUUCUCCACAGGGUGGCUCCAGCCACACGCCAACUGGUCUCUGGCCUCAGGUCUUUUGAACUUGCUCUUUCCUCUGCCUGGAACACCCUGUACUCUCCCUGUAACUGCCUGAUCUCAUUCCUUGCCGGACUCAGCCAGAGCUUCCCUGGCCCGCCUGUCCCCAAGCACCCAGAACCUGUUCUCUUGCAUCCUCUUUAGAGAAAUCAUCUUCAAUCUUCGCCUUCUAUCAUGGACCUGUGUGUUUGUCAUCUGUCUUUCACAUUUUUAUGAGCUUCGCAGGAGUGGAAUUUUUCUGUCUUUUUUAGGGCUAUGUCCCCAGACCUAGAAGCAGCCUCUGCUCUGUCAUAAGCCGCUAAUAAGUGUACAGUGAAUAACGUACACACUAAAUAAAUUUAAACCAUAUUGAAUGACAAGAAAGCUUUUUUUUUUUUCUGCUCCAUCUUCAAAGAUAACUGUAUAUGACAUGCAGAAUUCUAGUUAUUCUGGCUCUUUUUCAACAUAUGCAAGUAUAUUUAUGUGUCUAAUAAACUUUAUAUACAUUUUAUCUCUA
This is a long non-coding RNA of Cavia porcellus (domestic guinea pig), 3555 nucleotides long. RefSeq lists it as uncharacterized. The transcript is spliced from 6 exons. Lineage: Eukaryota; Metazoa; Chordata; Mammalia; Rodentia; Caviidae. The record is from RefSeq and is a predicted model, not a curated record.